UUCGCAAUGCCCGAAAGGGUGACGAAGCGACGCCGCGUGUGGGAAGAAGGCCUUCGGGUUGUAAACCGCUGUCGGGAGUUAAGAAAUGCAAGGGUGUUAACAGCAUCCUUGCUUGACUAAGGCUCCGGAGGAAGCCACGGCUAACUCUGUGCCAGCAGCCGCGGUAAUACAGAGGCGGCAAGCGUUGUUCGGAAUUAUUGGGCGUAAAGAGCACGUAGGCGGCUGUGUAAGUCGGUUGUGAAAGCCUCCCGCUCAACGGGAGAACGGCAUCCGAUACUGCAUAGCUUGAGUGCGGGUGGGGAGAGUGGAACUUCUGGUGGAGCGGUGAAAUGCGUAGAUAUCAGAAGGAACACCGGCGGCGAAGGCGACUCUCUGGCCCGUAACUGACGCUGAGUGUGCGAAAGCUAGGGGAGCAAACGGGAUUAGAUACCCCGGUAGUCCUAGCCGUAAACGAUGGGCACUAAGUAGAGGGGUUUU
This 477-nucleotide ribosomal RNA is filed under the name uncultured bacterium. RNAcentral's name for it is "bacterial SSU rRNA". It matches the Rfam family "Bacterial small subunit ribosomal RNA", at positions 365 to 832 of the family's 1533-position model. The record is from RNAcentral.